AGAGUUUGAUCAUGGCUCAGAACGAACGCUGGCGGCAGGCCUAACACAUGCAAGUCGAACGCACCGCAAGGUGAGUGGCGCACGGGUGAGUAACACGUGGGAAUGUACCCUUUGGUUCGGAAUAACGUUUGGAAACGAACGCUAAUACCGGAUGAGCCCUACGGGGGAAAGAUUUAUCGCCAAAGGAGCAGCCCGCGUCUGAUUAGCUAGUUGGUGGGGUAAAGGCCUACCAAGGCGACGAUCAGUAGCUGGUCUGAGAGGAUGAUCAGCCACACUGGGACUGAGACACGGCCCAGACUCCUACGGGAGGCAGCAGUGGGGAAUAUUGGACAAUGGGCGAAAGCCUGAUCCAGCCAUGCCGCGUGAGUGAUGAAGGCCUUCGGGUUGUAAAGCUCUUUCGCACACGACGAUGAUGACGGUAGUGUGAGAAGAAGCCCCGGCUAACUUCGUGCCAGCAGCCGCGGUAAUACGAAGGGGGCUAGCGUUGUUCGGAAUUACUGGGCGUAAAGGGCGCGUAGGCGGCUUAUCAAGUCAGGCGUGAAAGCCCCGGGCUUAACCUGGGAACUGCGCUUGAGACUGUUAGGCUUGAGUACCGGAGAGGUAGGUGGAAUUCCCAGUGUAGAGGUGAAAUUCGUAGAUAUUGGGAAGAACACCAGUGGCGAAGGCGGCCUACUGGACGGUAACUGACGCUGAGGCGCGAAAGCGUGGGGAGCAAACAGGAUUAGAUACCCUGGUAGUCCACGCCGUAAACGAUGUCGGCUAGACGUUGGGGCUCUUAGAGUUUCAGUGUCGCAGCUAACGCAUUAAGCCGACCGCCUGGGGAGUACGGCCGCAAGGUUGAAACUCAAAUGAAUUGACGG
RNAcentral lists this ribosomal RNA (860 nucleotides) under uncultured bacterium. RNAcentral's name for it is "bacterial SSU rRNA". It matches the Rfam family "Bacterial small subunit ribosomal RNA", at positions 8 to 916 of the family's 1533-position model. The record is from RNAcentral.